CAGUAGCCGCGGUAAUACAGAGGGUGCGAGCGUUAAUCGGAUUUACUGGGCGUAAAGCGCGCGUAGGUGGUUCAUUAAGUUGGAUGUGAAAGCCCUGGGCUCAACCUGGGAACUGCAUCCAAAACUGGUGAGCUAGAGUACGGUAGAGGGUAGUGGAAUUUCCUGUGUAGCGGUGAAAUGCGUAGAUAUAGGAAGGAACAUCAGUGGCGAAGGCGACCACCUGGACUGAUACUGACACUGAGGUGCGAAAGCGUGGGGAGCAAACAGGAUUAGAUACCCCAGUAGUCCCUGUCUCUUAUAC
This 301-nucleotide ribosomal RNA is filed under the name uncultured bacterium. RNAcentral's name for it is "partial 16S ribosomal RNA". It matches the Rfam family "Bacterial small subunit ribosomal RNA", at positions 509 to 807 of the family's 1533-position model. The record is from RNAcentral.